This 253-nucleotide ribosomal RNA is filed under the name uncultured bacterium. RNAcentral's name for it is "partial 16S ribosomal RNA". It matches the Rfam family "Bacterial small subunit ribosomal RNA", at positions 524 to 776 of the family's 1533-position model. The record is from RNAcentral.
UACAGAGGUGGCAAGCGUUGUUCGGAAUUACUGGGCGUAAAGGGCGCGUAGGCGGCCUGCUAAGUCGAACGUGAAAUCCCUGGGCUCAACCCAGGAACUGCGUCCGAUACUGGUUGGCUUGAAUCCGGGAGAGGGAUGUGGAAUUCCAGGUGUAGCGGUGGAAUGCGUAGAUAUCUGGAGGAACACCGGUGGCGAAGGCGACAUCCUGGACCGGUAUUGACGCUGAGGCGCGAAAGCCAGGGGAGCAAACGGG